GUUACAGCCACACCACUCACUAUCCAUCUUGGAAAGAAUGCUGCUCAUCUCUAGAAAUGAAAAGGGAGCAAAGUGUUAGAAAAAGAAACGGGCAUACAAUGAAGAAAGUAAGAGAAAAGGCCCAUGAGAAAGUUCAUGGGAGCUGAUGAAUUUUCAAGAGAAACUGAGAGCAGGAGCACGAGUAGACAGGAACUUGCAGCAUCUGUGUCAGGAGGUCUUGUGGGUUGACAGAAGUGGACUGCGGAGAGAGCUGAAGAUGGAGAACAUGCCAGAUCACUGUUCUCAAAGAGCACUGCGUGAUUCCCCCAGCAUCAGAAUCACCAGAGGGGCUUCCUGAAAAUGAAGACUGGAGACUCAUGGUAGGCACAGAAUCAGAAUGUGCAGGGAAGGACCUGGGAACAUGCACUUGAACCAACCUGCCAUGCUCAGAGCUUGAGAGCCACUACUACAAGUAUAUUACCCUCUCUCCUUUGCUAUCAC
Long non-coding RNA from Fukomys damarensis (Damara mole-rat), 480 nucleotides. RefSeq lists it as uncharacterized. The record is from RefSeq and is a predicted model, not a curated record. NCBI's taxonomy places the organism in Eukaryota, Metazoa, Chordata, Mammalia, Rodentia, Bathyergidae. The transcript is spliced from 3 exons.